Molecule: non-coding RNA, 822 nt
Filed under: Opiliones sp. MT-2014
Lineage: Eukaryota; Metazoa; Arthropoda; Arachnida; Opiliones
Source: RNAcentral
CAAAUUUAUCCUUGAAUCGCUCUUCCUUCUAGUGUAAUUUUACUAGCUUUUAGUUCCCUCCUACAAAUUUAUCCUGAAUCGCCCGUAUAUGAAGAGUUUAAUUAAGGCUUGGUUCCUUGUGUAGUUUUAGGUUUUUAUAUGCUUUUUGAGAGAUUGAAUAGUAGAAGUUGAGUUUAUUAGUUAAUAGGCUUAUAUGUAGACUAAAAUUUAAGUAGGUAGCGAAGUGCGUGCCAGCCGCUGCGGUUAGACGUAAAGCUAUAAACAAGGUUGUUUUAGAAGGUUUUAACACGUCUAUGGUUAGAUAGUUGUAGUAUACUAAACGGUGGAAUGUUGAGUUAUCUACUUAAUCUUUUGAGAGUUGAAAUGAAGGUUAGUUUAAGGAAUAGGAUUAGAUACCCUAUUACUCUAAUAUGUUAAGUUUUUGAGGAGUAGAUUUAAAAUUAAAGAAUUUGGCGGUGUUUUAUCCUAAUAGAGGAAUUUGUUCUGUAAUCGAUAGUCCCCGUUAUAUCUAACCUUAUUUAAAGUUUAUAUACCGUUGUUAUCAGAAUACCUUGCAGAUGGGCUAUUAGUUUUCUUAAUAGGAUGUUUCUAUGAUUUCAAAUCAAGGUGUAGUAGAUAGUAAGGGUUGAAAUGAGUUACAUUUGGUAGGAAGAUGACUUUCCAGGGGAAGGCUUGGUUAGUAUUAGGAUUUAUGAGUAAGUUGUUAUUAAUAUGGGUAGCUGAAAAGGGGUCUAAAACAUGUACAUAUCGCCCGUCACUCCAAUUUUAAUAUUGGAUAAGUCGUAACAAAGUAGAUGUAAGGGAACUUGCCUCUAGAUGUUG